Long non-coding RNA from Physeter macrocephalus (sperm whale), 950 nucleotides. RefSeq lists it as uncharacterized. The record is from RefSeq and is a predicted model, not a curated record. The transcript is spliced from 7 exons. NCBI's taxonomy places the organism in Eukaryota, Metazoa, Chordata, Mammalia, Artiodactyla, Physeteridae.
UGUCGGGGCUAGGACUAAUCCCGGACUGAGGGGUCCCCUUCCGACGCAGAUGGGACAAAGAAAUCAGCGGUGAACAGGAAGAAGGAAAGAAGGACUGCAUAGUCACCAGCCUUGUUUGAGGAUUAUGUCAAAGGUCUGUGUGAAUGUGAGGCCAGGACCAAAUGUCAACAACCAAAGACCAACAACCAUGGGAGAUGAAGAAACUGAGGCCUGGAGAGAAUAAGGAGCUGCCAGUGUCACACAACUACAGAGAGAGAGAGCUGGGCUCUCCUGCUUUCCACUGGCCCUAUGCUGGAUGCUGAAGACACCCUGGGGGAUAAAGCGCAGCCACUGUCCUCGAGGGGCCUCAGAUGCACAGAUGAGAGCCACAGAAGAACCAGGUGGUGUUGACACCACUUGGGCAUCUCUGUGGGACCCACAAGGGCCUGGCCAGGAUCCUCCCAAGCCUUGGCCCCAUUUGGGUUGCGAGAAUUAAAUAAUCCAUAUGGAAGUGAUGUGCAAACAGUCUGGUGGCCUCUGUGAUGCUCAGGGCGGUGGGAGAGACGAGGAAACCUAAACUCAAGAGAGACGGGAAUCACCCAAGGUCACACCUGCAGUGAGUGACAGGGCCGAAAUGUGAAUUCAAGCGUGGGAACCUCCCGGCCCUGCCAGAGGACGGCAGCUUUCCCGGGCACCGGGAGUUAAUGGAGGGAGGCAAAGCACACGUUCGCGCAGCACCGCGGCAGGCCCCACGGAGCCAGGCCUCCGAGCGGGCGUUAUCCAGCCCAUUUAACGACGAGGACACUGAGGCCAGAGACGGCAGUGACCGAUCCGAGGCCAACGGGCCGGUGUCCGGACUCGAACCCACGGUCAAUAGAGCCUGCAGGAGAGCCAGCCUCCCGCCCCGCCGCGCCCGCCGCCAUUAGCGCCCACAGCCCUAGCUGCGCCCUCGCCCUGCCCCGCCCUACCCC